GGCCGCGUGGCGUAAUGGCAACGCGUCUGACUACGAUUGUGUUAUCAGGAGAUUGCAGGUUCGACCCCUGCCGCGGUCA
Transfer RNA from Gloeophyllum trabeum ATCC 11539, 79 nucleotides. It matches the Rfam family "tRNA". From Rfam's summary of the family: Transfer RNA (tRNA) molecules are approximately 80 nucleotides in length. Their secondary structure includes four short double-helical elements and three loops (D, anti-codon, and T loops). Further hydrogen bonds mediate the characteristic L-shaped molecular structure. tRNAs have two regions of fundamental functional importance: the anti-codon, which is responsible for specific mRNA codon recognition, and the 3' end, to which the tRNAs corresponding amino acid is attached (by aminoacyl-tRNA synthetases). tRNAs cope with the degeneracy of the genetic code in two manners: having more than one tRNA (with a specific anti-codon) for a particular amino acid; and 'wobble' base-pairing, i.e. permitting non-standard base-pairing at the 3rd anti-codon position. NCBI's taxonomy places the organism in Eukaryota, Fungi, Basidiomycota, Agaricomycetes, Gloeophyllales, Gloeophyllaceae. The record is from Rfam.